AUUGAACGCUGGCGGCAUGCCUUACACAUGCAAGUCGAACGGCAGCACGGGCUUCGGUCUGGUGGCGAGUGGCGAACGGGUGAGUAAUGUAUCGGAACGUACCUUUCAGUGGGGGAUAACGUAGCGAAAGUUACGCUAAUACCGCAUAUUCUGUGAGCAGGAAAGCAGGGGAUCGCAAGACCUUGCGCUGAUUGAGCGGCCGAUAUCAGAUUAGCUAGUUGGUGAGGUAAAGGCUCACUAAGGCGACGAUCUGUAGCGGGGCUGAGAGGAUGAUCCGCCACACUGGAACUGAGACACGGUCCAGACUCCUACGGGAGGCAGCAGUGGGGAACUUUGGACAAUGGGGGCAACCCUGAUCCAGCCAUGCCGCGUGAGUGAAGAAGGCCUUCGGGUUGUAAAGCUCUUUCGGCCGGGAAGAAAUCGCAUAGGUUAAUACCCUGUGUGGAUGACGGUACCGGAAUAAGAAGCACCGGCUAACUACGUGCCAGCCGCCGCAGUAA
RNAcentral lists this ribosomal RNA (500 nucleotides) under uncultured bacterium. Its description in RNAcentral is "partial 16S ribosomal RNA". It matches the Rfam family "Bacterial small subunit ribosomal RNA", at positions 30 to 523 of the family's 1533-position model. The record is from RNAcentral.